This 534-nucleotide ribosomal RNA is filed under the name Trigonopterus sp. 753 AR-2022a. RNAcentral describes it as "partial large subunit ribosomal RNA". It matches the Rfam family "Bacterial large subunit ribosomal RNA", at positions 1829 to 2625 of the family's 2925-position model. Lineage: Eukaryota; Metazoa; Arthropoda; Insecta; Coleoptera; Curculionidae. The record is from RNAcentral.
GUCUUAUAGAUAAUAAUUUUAGGUCUAACCUGCCCAAUGAAUGUUUAAAUGGCCGCGGUAUUUUGACCGUGCAAAGGUAGCAUAAUCAUUAGUUUUUUAAUUGGAAGCUGGAAUGAAGGGUUUCAUGAAAGAAAAUCUGUCUCUAUAGAAUAAUUAGAAUUUUAUUUUUAAGUUAGAAAGCUUAAAUGUUCAUGGAAGACGAGAAGACCCUGUAGAGUUUAAUAUUUGCUAGAAAAAUAAUAUUUAUUGAGAAGACUAUUUAUUUUUAAAGUAAGUUUUUUGUUGGGGUGAUGAAAAAAUUUAUUGAACUUUUUUUAUAUAGAUACAUUAAUGUAUGAUUAAUUGAUCUUGAAGUUUAGAUUUAAAGAUUAAAUUACCUUAGGGAUAACAGCGUGAUUUUUUCUAGAGUUCUUAUCGAAAGAAGAGAUUGCGACCUCGAUGUUGGAUUAAAAUAAAUAAUUGGUGAAAAAGCUAAUUUAUUAGGUCUGUUCGACCUUUAAAAUUUUACAUGAUCUGAGUUUAAACCGGUGUGAG